UAAUCAAAUCCUGGACCUUGGGGUUAUCAGCACCAAGCUCUAACCAACUGAGCUAACCAGCCAGCCCUGGAUAUCUUAACAGCUUGGAUACAGCACUCGCAACCCAAUGUGAGUCCCUGAUCACACUGAACGGCAUCAGUGUAGAGUCAUGUAGACCAUUGUACUACUUUGCCUUUGAUUCUGAGUGAGAUGAGAAGCCACUGGCGGUGUCUGAGCAGAAUGCACAUUCUCCAAAAGGGGAAGACUUCAGGAAGAGCAGGCGGCGAACUGCAGGAGUUGCCAGUGUUUUUUGGCCCUUUAUCUCUUGGUGUGUGUGUUCAUCAUGGGACACAGCAGGAGUUUCAACAACAUCUUCUUCUGAAUCUGGUAACAAGGUAUGCUUUACAAGCCUUUUCCAGAUAUUCUUGGCAAACGAAACAGGAAGAAUGGGACCAAACCUAAAACACUACAUAUAAUUUUGAUUCUAAUACCAUUCUUGACAUGUCUAGCACAUUUCUGACUUAUUACUAUC
Cynocephalus volans (Philippine flying lemur) is the source of this 511-nucleotide long non-coding RNA. RefSeq lists it as uncharacterized. The transcript is spliced from 4 exons. The record is from RefSeq and is a predicted model, not a curated record. Lineage: Eukaryota; Metazoa; Chordata; Mammalia; Dermoptera; Cynocephalidae.